This 184-nucleotide ribosomal RNA is filed under the name uncultured bacterium. RNAcentral's name for it is "partial 16S ribosomal RNA". It matches the Rfam family "Bacterial small subunit ribosomal RNA", at positions 1309 to 1500 of the family's 1533-position model. The record is from RNAcentral.
AACCCGACUCCAUGAAGCUGGAUUCGCUAGUAAUCGCGCAUCAGCCACGGCGCGGUGAAUACGUUCCCGGGCCUUGUACACACCGCCCGUCAAGCCAUGGAAGCCGGGGGUGCCUGAAGUGCGCUGCCGCAAGGAGCGUCCUAGGGUAAAACCGGUGACUGGGGCUAAGUCGUAACAAGGUAAC